Molecule: non-coding RNA, 87 nt
Organism: Venturia effusa
Lineage: Eukaryota; Fungi; Ascomycota; Dothideomycetes; Venturiales; Venturiaceae
Source: the annotation of a GenBank genome assembly
GGACCGGUAACUCAGUGGUAGAGUGCGGGAUUGCAGUGCGCGAGCGCAAACAUCCUGAAGUCAGGCGUUCAAACCGCCUUCGGUCCU